Molecule: transfer RNA, 76 nt
Filed under: Candidatus Komeilibacteria bacterium CG_4_9_14_0_2_um_filter_36_13
Lineage: Bacteria; Candidatus Komeiliibacteriota
Also listed under: 4 other names
Description: tRNA-Met
Rfam family: tRNA
About the family: Transfer RNA (tRNA) molecules are approximately 80 nucleotides in length. Their secondary structure includes four short double-helical elements and three loops (D, anti-codon, and T loops).
Source: RNAcentral
CGCGGGGUAGAGCAGUUGGCAGCUCGCCAGGCCCAUAACCUGGAGGUCGCCGGUUCGAGUCCGGCCCCCGCUACCA